GACGAACGCUGGCGGCGUGCCUAACACAUGCAAGUCGAACGGGAUCCAUGAGAGCUUGCUCUCGGAAGAUCUAGUGGCGAACGGGUGAGUAACACGUGAGAAACCUGCCCUGGAGUGGGGAAUAACUCGGGGAAACCCGAGCUAAUACCGCAUACCCUUGGAUGAUCGCAUGGUCGACCAAGGAAAGAUUUAUCGCUCUAGGAGGGUCUCGCGGCCUAUCAGCUAGUUGGUGGGGUAAUGGCCUACCAAGGCAACGACGGGUAGCUGGUUUGAGAGAACGAUCAGCCACACUGGGACUGAGACACGGCCCAGACUCCUACGGGAGGCAGCAGUGGGGAAUCUUGCGCAAUGGGCGAAAGCCUGACGCAGCAACGCCGCGUGCGGGAUGACGGGCCUUCGUGGUUGUAAACCGCUUCAGCAGGGACGAAAAUGACGGUACC
This 440-nucleotide ribosomal RNA is filed under the name uncultured bacterium. Its description in RNAcentral is "bacterial SSU rRNA". It matches the Rfam family "Bacterial small subunit ribosomal RNA", at positions 28 to 479 of the family's 1533-position model. The record is from RNAcentral.